GCGAUAGAGAUGGCAGCUGUGGCGGUAGUGUGGAGGGUGGAAGGGUCAAGCGGAGUGACUGUGCGGAAAGCGGGCGGAGGCGGUUAUAGAGUGCAGAUGUGAAGUCCUCGGGCUGAACCUGGGAACGUCAUUUGGGGAGGUAUAGGUAGUGUACGGCAGAGGGGGAUGGAAGUCCGCGUGUAGCAGUGAAAUGCGUAGAUAUGCGGAGGAACACCGAUGGCGAAGGCAAUCCCCUGGGCCUGUACUGACGCUCAUGCACGAAAGCGUGGGGAGCAAACAGGAUUAGAUACCCCAGUAGUC
RNAcentral lists this ribosomal RNA (300 nucleotides) under uncultured Ferroglobus sp. RNAcentral describes it as "bacterial SSU rRNA". The stretch from base 52 to 300 matches the Rfam family "Bacterial small subunit ribosomal RNA", at positions 547 to 795 of the family's 1533-position model. Lineage: Archaea; Methanobacteriati; Methanobacteriota; Archaeoglobi; Archaeoglobales; Archaeoglobaceae. The record is from RNAcentral.